CACGGGGGGAGCAAGCGUUGUUCGGAAUCACUGGGCGUAAAGGGCGUGUAGGCGGUCAAGUAAGUGGAAUGUGAAAUGCCCCGGCUUACCCGGGGACCUGCAUCCCAAACUGCUUGACUUGAGUACGGGAGAGGAUGAGGGAAUUCCUGGUGUAACGGUGAAAUGCGUAGAUAUCAGGAGGAACACCGGUGGCGAAGGCGCUCAUCUGGCCCGAUACUGACGCUGAGGCGCGAAAGCUAGGGUAGCAAACGGG
This 253-nucleotide ribosomal RNA is filed under the name uncultured bacterium. RNAcentral describes it as "partial 16S ribosomal RNA". It matches the Rfam family "Bacterial small subunit ribosomal RNA", at positions 524 to 776 of the family's 1533-position model. The record is from RNAcentral.